This 241-nucleotide ribosomal RNA is filed under the name uncultured bacterium. RNAcentral's name for it is "partial 16S ribosomal RNA". It matches the Rfam family "Bacterial small subunit ribosomal RNA", at positions 15 to 221 of the family's 1533-position model. The record is from RNAcentral.
GAUCAUGGCUCAGGACGAACGCUGGCGGCGUGCUUAACACAUGCAAGUCGAACGGACCUUAUCUGACAGAUUUCUUCGGAUUGACGACAUAUAAGGUUAGUGGCGGACGGGUGAGUAACACGUGGAUAAUCUACCGUAAAGACCGGGACAACAGUUGGAAACGACUGCUAAUACCGGAUGUUGUGCAGAGGCGGCAUCGCUUUUGCAUUAAAGGAGGCCUCUAUUUAUAAGCUCCCGCUUU